This 253-nucleotide ribosomal RNA is filed under the name uncultured bacterium. Its description in RNAcentral is "partial 16S ribosomal RNA". It matches the Rfam family "Bacterial small subunit ribosomal RNA", at positions 524 to 776 of the family's 1533-position model. The record is from RNAcentral.
UACGUAGGCAGCAAGCGUUGUUCGGAGUUACUGGGCGUAAAGGGUGUGUAGGCGGUUCUUUAAGUUUGGUGUGAAAUCUCCCGGCUCAACCGGGAGGGUGCGCCGAAUACUGAGGGACUAGAGUGCGGGAGAGGAAAGUGGAAUUCCUGGUGUAGCGGUGAAAUGCGUAGAUAUCUGGAGGAACACCGGUGGCGAAGGCGGCAUCCUGGACCGAGAUUGACGCUGAGGCGCGAAAGCUAGGGGAGCAAACGGG